GGGGGAAUAUGUAUUUUGUCGGACUCGAAAUCCGAUAUACAGUUAUGCUGUAUCGAGGGUUCGAAUCCCUCUCUCUCCUCCA
RNAcentral lists this transfer RNA (82 nucleotides) under Curvibacter sp. Its description in RNAcentral is "tRNA-Ile". It matches the Rfam family "tRNA". Rfam says of the family: Transfer RNA (tRNA) molecules are approximately 80 nucleotides in length. Their secondary structure includes four short double-helical elements and three loops (D, anti-codon, and T loops). The record is from RNAcentral. Lineage: Bacteria; Pseudomonadati; Pseudomonadota; Betaproteobacteria; Burkholderiales; Comamonadaceae.